GGGGUUGUAGCUCAGUGGUAGAGAGCUUGCCUAGCACAUGUGAGGCAUCACAUGAAAAUAAAUAUAGGUACUGUGUCCAUCUACAACCAAAAAAAUAUUUUAAAAAAAGAAAUCACAGAGAGGCCUGGGGUUAUGGCUCAGCAGUAGAGCACUCGCCUCGUACAUGCAAGGCCCUGGGUUCAAUCCUCAGCACCACA
Molecule: transfer RNA, 197 nt
Filed under: Marmota monax (woodchuck)
Lineage: Eukaryota; Metazoa; Chordata; Mammalia; Rodentia; Sciuridae
Description: tRNA.Ala
Source: RNAcentral